This 301-nucleotide ribosomal RNA is filed under the name uncultured bacterium. Its description in RNAcentral is "partial 16S ribosomal RNA". It matches the Rfam family "Bacterial small subunit ribosomal RNA", at positions 509 to 808 of the family's 1533-position model. The record is from RNAcentral.
CAGUCGCCGCGGUAAUACGGGGGGGGCAAGUGUUAUUCGGAAUGACUGGGCGUAAAGGGCACGUAGGCGGUGAAAAGGGUGGAAAGUGAAAGUCGCCAAAACACUGGCGGGGUGCUUUCUUGACCAUUUCACUUGAGUGAGAUAGGGGAGAGUGGAAUUUCGUGUGGAGGGAUCAAAUCCUAAGAUAUACGAAGGAACGCCAACCGCGAAGGCAGCUCUCUGGGUCCCCACUGACGCUGGGGUGCGAAAGCAUGGGGAGCAAACAGGAUCAGAUACCCCCGUAGUCCCUGUCUCUUAUACA